Long non-coding RNA from Xenia sp. Carnegie-2017, 542 nucleotides. RefSeq lists it as uncharacterized. The record is from RefSeq and is a predicted model, not a curated record. Lineage: Eukaryota; Metazoa; Cnidaria; Anthozoa; Malacalcyonacea; Xeniidae. The transcript has 7 exons.
ACCUCAUCGAAAAAGCAGUUAGUAUUGCGGAGAGAACCGCUGACCAGAGCGCCCGCAUUGAUGGAGAUGAAGUAAAUCUUGAAGAAGAAUCGGAACUACAAUUACCAUUCUUACUUCCUGACGAUAGUUAUUUCGUCGAGAAUACUUGCGGCGUGCCACCAGGAUUGAAGGAGUUAGGAGUUCCUUUCUCCUCUAAUUGCCCCAGGUUUAUGCAAACUUACAAUCCAACCAAAGGCAUCCGGAUACUGGACAGUUCAUUUUGAGGCUGUUGAAGUAACCGAGGGUCCUCCUUUAGAGACUAUUAAAAUUACUUUAAAUAAAGGAAACAAGGGAAUGGGCGUCAGCAUCGUAGCUGCUAAGGGCGGCGGUCAGGGAAAAUCUGGUAUAAACGUUAAAGAGGUUAUUGCCAAUGGACCAGCUGCUGUGGAUGGCCGUGUGAGUCCCGGUGACCAAAUCAUUGAGGUUGACGGCGAGUCCUUGGUUGGGAUAGAACAAGAGGAUGCUGUGAAGAUUUUAAUAAAAUGUGGCUCCAUCGUGAAUUG